UAGUCCUACGGGGCGCAGCAGUGGGGAAUAUUGGGCAAUGGACGCAAGUCUGACCCAGCAACGCCGCGUGAAGGAAGAAGGCUUUCGGAUUGUAAACCUCUGUGGAGGGGGACGAUAAUGACGGUACCCCUUUAGGAAGCCACGGCUAACUACGUGCCAGCAGCCGCGGUAAUACGUAGGUGGCGAGCGUUGUCCGGAAUUACUGGGUGUAAAGGGAGUGUAGGCGGGAAAGCAAGUCAGAAGUGAAAACUAUGGGCUUAA
Molecule: ribosomal RNA, 261 nt
Filed under: uncultured bacterium
Lineage: Bacteria
Description: partial 16S ribosomal RNA
Rfam family: Bacterial small subunit ribosomal RNA
Source: RNAcentral